RNAcentral lists this ribosomal RNA (551 nucleotides) under uncultured archaeon. RNAcentral's name for it is "bacterial SSU rRNA". It matches the Rfam family "Archaeal small subunit ribosomal RNA", at positions 102 to 656 of the family's 1478-position model. The record is from RNAcentral.
AGUCCCCAUUUCCAGGGGACGUGGAUAACCUCGGGAAACUGAGAUUAAACCGCGAUAGGUCAAGAUUUCUGGAAUGGAUCCUGGCUUAAAUCUACAUGGCCCCUGGAUUGGACUGCGGCCGAUCAGGCUGUUGGUGAGGUAAUGGCCCACCAAACCUAUAACCGGUACGGGCUCUGAGAGGAGAAGCCCGGAGAUGGGCACUGAGACAAGGGCCCAGGCCCUAUGGGGCGCAGCAGGCGCGAAAACUCUGCAAUGGGCGAAAGCCUGACAGGGUUACUCUGAGUGAUUUCCGCUAAGGAGAUCUUUUGGCAGCUCUAAAAAUGGUGCAGAAUAAGGGGUGGGCAAGUCUGGUGUCAGCCGCCGCGGUAAUACCAGCACCCCGAGUGGUCGGGACGAUUAUUGGGCCUAAAGCAUCCGUAGCCGGUUGUGCAAGUCCUCCGUUAAAUCCAGCCGCUCAACGGAUGGGCUGCGGAGGAUACUACAGAACUAGGAGGCGGGAGAGGCAAGCGGUACUUAGUGGGUAGGGGUAAAAUCCUUUGAUCCAUUGAAGA